UAGGGAAUCUUCGGCAAUGGACGAAAGUCUGACCGAGCAACGCCGCGUGAGUGAAGAAGGUUUUCGGAUCGUAAAACUCUGUUGUUAGAGAAGAACAAGGACGUUAGUAACUGAACGUCCCCUGACGGUAUCUAACCAGAAAGCCACGGCUAACUACGUGCCAGCAGCCGCGGUAAUACGUAGGUGGCAAGCGUUGUCCGGAUUUAUUGGGCGUAAAGCGAGCGCAGGCGGUUUCUUAAGUCUGAUGUGAAAGCCCCCGGCUCAACCGGGGAGGGUCAUUGGAAACUGGGAGACUUGAGUGCAGAAGAGGAGAGUGGAAUUCCAUGUGUAGCGGUGAAAUGCGUAGAUAUAUGGGGGAACACCAGUGGCGAAGGCGGCUCUCUGGUCUGUAACUGACGCUGAGGCUCGAAAGCGUGGGGAGCAAACAGG
RNAcentral lists this ribosomal RNA (429 nucleotides) under Chloroflexota bacterium. RNAcentral's name for it is "Chloroflexi bacterium partial 16S ribosomal RNA". It matches the Rfam family "Bacterial small subunit ribosomal RNA", at positions 355 to 776 of the family's 1533-position model. The record is from RNAcentral. RNAcentral also lists the same sequence under 1 other name. Lineage: Bacteria; Bacillati; Chloroflexota.